Molecule: ribosomal RNA, 591 nt
Filed under: uncultured Rhodocyclaceae bacterium
Lineage: Bacteria; Pseudomonadati; Pseudomonadota; Betaproteobacteria; Rhodocyclales; Rhodocyclaceae
Description: bacterial SSU rRNA
Rfam family: Bacterial small subunit ribosomal RNA
Source: RNAcentral
AGAUUGAACGCUGGCGGCAUGCCUUACACAUGCAAGUCGAACGGCAGCACGGGAGCUUGCUCCUGGUGGCGAGUGGCGAACGGGUGAGUAAUGCAUCGGAACGUAUCCUGGAGUGGGGGAUAACGUAGCGAAAGUUACGCUAAUACCGCAUAUUCUGUGAGCAGGAAAGCGGGGGACCUUCGGGCCUCGCGCUCUUGGAGCGGCCGAUGUCGGAUUAGCUGGUUGGUGAGGUAAAGGCUCACCAAGGCGACGAUCCGUAGCAGGUCUGAGAGGAUGAUCUGCCACACUGGAACUGAGACACGGUCCAGACUCCUACGGGAGGCAGCAGUGGGGAAUUUUGGACAAUGGGGGCAACCCUGAUCCAGCCAUGCCGCGUGAGUGAAGAAGGCCUUCGGGUUGUAAAGCUCUUUCGCGAGGGAAGAAAUUGCACCGGAUAAUACCUGGUGUAGAUGACGGUACCUUGAUAAGAAGCACCGGCUAACUACGUGCCAGCAGCCGCGGUAAUACGUAGGGUGCGAGCGUUAAUCGGAAUUACUGGGCGUAAAGCGUGCGCAGGCGGUUUCGUAAGACAGGCGUGAAAUCCCCGGGCUU